CGGGUGAGUAACACGUGGGCAAUCUGCCCUUCACUCUGGGACAAGCCCUGGAAACGGGGUCUAAUACCGGAUAUCACUCCUGCAGGCAUCUGCGGGAGUUGAAAGCUCCGGCGGUGAAGGAUGAGCCCGCGGCCUAUCAGCUUGUUGGUGAGGUAAUGGCUCACCAAGGCGACGACGGGUAGCCGGCCUGAGAGGGCGACCGGCCACACUGGGACUGAGACACGGCCCAGACUCCUACGGGAGGCAGCAGUGGGGAAUAUUGCACAAUGGGCGAAAGCCUGAUGCAGCGACGCCGCGUGAGGGAUGACGGCCUUCGGGUUGUAAACCUCUUUCAGCAGGGAAGAAGCGAAAGUGACGGUACCUGCAGAAGAAGCGCCGGCUAACUACGUGCCAGCAGCCGCGGUAAUACGUAGGGCGCAAGCGUUGUCCGGAAUUAUUGGGCGUAAAGAGCUCGUAGGCGGCUUGUCACGUCGGGUGUGAAAGCCCGGGGCUUAACCCCGGGUCUGCAUUCGAUACGGGCUAGCUAGAGUGUGGUAGGGGAGAUCGGAAUUCCU
This 554-nucleotide ribosomal RNA is filed under the name Streptomyces sp. 431A08. RNAcentral's name for it is "bacterial SSU rRNA". It matches the Rfam family "Bacterial small subunit ribosomal RNA", at positions 103 to 671 of the family's 1533-position model. Lineage: Bacteria; Bacillati; Actinomycetota; Actinomycetes; Kitasatosporales; Streptomycetaceae. The record is from RNAcentral.